UCAUUCACGACGGGAGAACCGGAUAUCCGGUGCCGAAGGCGCAACCGCCCCGGAAACGCUCAGGCCACAGGACCGCCGUGAGGCA
Molecule: non-coding RNA, 85 nt
Filed under: Tropicibacter naphthalenivorans
Lineage: Bacteria; Pseudomonadati; Pseudomonadota; Alphaproteobacteria; Rhodobacterales; Roseobacteraceae
Description: Glycine sequence
Rfam family: Glycine riboswitch aptamer
About the family: This family represents the bacterial glycine riboswitch.
Source: Rfam by way of RNAcentral